AGGGGUGUGGCUUAGUGGCAGAGCACUCGCCUGGCACAUGUGAGGCCCUGGGUUCAAUCCUCAGCACCACAU
Non-coding RNA from Ictidomys tridecemlineatus (thirteen-lined ground squirrel), 72 nucleotides. The record is from Rfam. NCBI's taxonomy places the organism in Eukaryota, Metazoa, Chordata, Mammalia, Rodentia, Sciuridae.